UGCCCAGCAACUCCUAUUAUUACCUCCUCGUGGUACUGGCCGGGGUACGAGUAACCUUGGGAAAGAGGUCGUAUGCUGACAGGGAAGG
This 88-nucleotide ribozyme is filed under the name Aedes aegypti (yellow fever mosquito). Its description in RNAcentral is "drz-agam-1 ribozyme". It matches the Rfam family "drz-agam-1 ribozyme". Lineage: Eukaryota; Metazoa; Arthropoda; Insecta; Diptera; Culicidae. The record is from Rfam by way of RNAcentral.